This 253-nucleotide ribosomal RNA is filed under the name uncultured bacterium. RNAcentral's name for it is "partial 16S ribosomal RNA". It matches the Rfam family "Bacterial small subunit ribosomal RNA", at positions 524 to 777 of the family's 1533-position model. The record is from RNAcentral.
UACGUAGGGUGCGAGCGUUGCCCGGAUUUAUUGGGCGUAAAGGGCGCGUAGGCGGCCACGCACGUCCGUUGUGAAAUCGCCCGGCUCAACUGGGCGGGUCAGCGGAUACGGUGUGGCUCGAGCAAGCUAGGGGGCAAUGGAAUUCCCGGUGUAGUGGUGGAAUGCGUAGAUAUCGGGAGGAACACCAGUGGCGAAGGCGGUUGCCUGGAGCUUUGCUGACGCUGAUGCGCGAAAGCGUGGGGAGCGAGUCCGG